This 535-nucleotide ribosomal RNA is filed under the name Dendroleon pantherinus. RNAcentral's name for it is "partial 16S ribosomal RNA". It matches the Rfam family "Archaeal large subunit ribosomal RNA", at positions 1898 to 2682 of the family's 2987-position model. The record is from RNAcentral. Lineage: Eukaryota; Metazoa; Arthropoda; Insecta; Neuroptera; Myrmeleontidae.
UUCAAAAACAUGUCUUUUUGUUUAUAAUAUAAGGUCUAACCUGCCCACUGAAUUAUUGAAGGGCCGCAGUAUAUUGACUGUGCAAAGGUAGCAUAAUCAUUUGCCUUUUAAUUGGAGGCUGGAAUGAAUGGUUGGAUGAGGUUUAAUCUGUCUCGUUAUUAAAAGUUAAUAAUUUAAUUUUUCAGUUAAAAAGCUGAAAUUUUUUUGGAGGACGAGAAGACCCUAUAGAGCUUUAUAAUUAUUUAAUGAAUUUUAUUUAGAUUAAAAAGUGUUUUUAUUAAAAUAUUAUUUUGUUGGGGUGACAGGAAGAUUAAUAAAACUCUUUUAAUAUUUAAACAUAAAUUAAUGAAUUUUUGAUCCAUUCUUAUUGAGUAGUAGAAUAAGUUACCUUAGGGAUAACAGCGUAAUUUUAUUGGAGAGUUCAUAUCGAUAAUAUAGAUUGCGACCUCGAUGUUGAAUUAAAGAAAUUUUUUAGUGCAGAAGCUAAGAUUAAUAGGUCUGUUCGACCUUUAAAACUUUACAUGAUCUGAGUUCC